This is a long non-coding RNA of Hipposideros armiger (great roundleaf bat), 791 nucleotides long. RefSeq lists it as uncharacterized. The transcript has 2 exons. The record is from RefSeq and is a predicted model, not a curated record. NCBI's taxonomy places the organism in Eukaryota, Metazoa, Chordata, Mammalia, Chiroptera, Hipposideridae.
GGAGCCCGCGGCGGGGCGCGCAGGGCCGCCCGGGCGCAGAAAGGACACGGGCUCUGGAACGUGCAGCCUCACGCGGCGCCUGGAGCAAAACCGAACCCCAAAAGGGGCAACGGGAAGGAACGAAUUCUCCAUUUUCAUCCCGCCUGUGCCCCGACAGGCCCGUUUCUGACCCUGAGCAUCGUUGUCUGGAAACGGGCACGGGCCGCCUGCCAUCGCCACCUCAGCUGUUCGUUUGCCAGCAGCUAAGACCACCGCAUUUGUCUGUGCCCUACACGAUAGGAGCUGCCCCUGCAGCUAUGCGGUGACCAGAAGCCAGUGCCCGUGCCACCGGGGUGACCCAUCGUGCCGGCCGCGCAGUCCUGGCGCAGGUGACAGGAGGCACGCCCCCAGCCAGGCCCCCCGGGUGUGCACCCUCCGCUUGAGCCCACCAGCAGGUGCCUGCUGCGCUCGCGGUCCCAUCAGCUGCUGAGAAGGUCGUGUCUAGUCCCAAGCGCCACUGUGCCUUUGUCCCUCUCAGCUCAGCUCCACGGCACUUGGCUUCAUGCACUGAGACUGGCUUUGGCGCGCACACUUCGGCUGGUUGCAUCUUUCCAGCGGAUUGAUCCUCUUAUGAUGGCGCCGCGUCCUCCCGUGUCUAGCAAUUCUCUUUGCUCUCAAGUGGACUUUACCAGGGAUCGAUACAGUGGUUUGUUUCUUUACAUUAAUGUUGGCAUGAUGUAUCUUUUUAUAUCCUAAUUUCAAUUUAUCGAUGUCACUGAAUUUGAAACGUCUUGUAAACAGCAUAUAAUUGG